AGAGUUUGAUCAUGGCUCAGAGCGAACGUUAGCGGCGGGCCUAACACAUGCAAGUCGAACGAGAACGCUCCUUCGGGAGUUAUUAAAGUGGCGCACGGGUGAGGAACGCGUAGGUAAUCUACCCUUUGGCGGGGGACAACAUUCCGAAAGGAAUGCUAAUACCGCGUAAGACCACACUCACCACGGUGAGAGCGGUUAAAGGUGCCUCAAAGCACCACCAGAGGAUGAGCCUGCGUCCCAUCAGCUUGUUGGUAAGGUAAUGGCUUACCAAGGCGAAGACGGGUAGCUGGUCUGAGAGGAUGAUCAGCCACACUGGCACUGGGACACGGGCCAGACUCCUACGGGAGGCAGCAGUGAGGAAUAUUGGGCAAUGGGCAAAAGCCUGACCCAGCCACGCCGCGUGUGUGAUGAAGGCCUUCGGGUCGUAAAGCACUGUGGGGAGAGACGAAAAAGCGCAUCAGGAAAUGGUUGCGCCUUGACGGUACCUCCUUAGCAAGCACCGGCUAACUCUGUGCCAGCAGCCGCGGUAAUACAGAGGGUGCGAACGUUGCUCGGAUUUACUGGGCGCAAAGCGCGUGUAGGCGGACUCGCAAGUCGGUUGUGAAAUCCCUGGGCUUAACCUAGGAACUGCAUCCCGAAACUGCUUGUCUUGAGUAAUGGAGAGGGUGGCGGAAUUCCCCGGUGUAGAGGUGAAAUUCGUAGAUAUCGGGAGGAACAUCAGU
This 722-nucleotide ribosomal RNA is filed under the name uncultured bacterium. Its description in RNAcentral is "bacterial SSU rRNA". It matches the Rfam family "Bacterial small subunit ribosomal RNA", at positions 8 to 713 of the family's 1533-position model. The record is from RNAcentral.